Long non-coding RNA from Equus caballus (horse), 2482 nucleotides. NCBI's taxonomy places the organism in Eukaryota, Metazoa, Chordata, Mammalia, Perissodactyla, Equidae. The record is from Ensembl.
GGCUCUGCUAAACUCCUCGCUGCAUUUAAAAGGUAUUUCAAAGCCUGUGGCUCAGAGAUGAACCGAGGAGAGAGAGUGAAGCAACUGUUGUGCGACAUGUCUGCAGUACAGUGUUGAGCACUGAGCAAGGGCCUCAGAGACCAGGAGGAGAGAGAGAGUUGACCUCUGCUCAUUCCCUGUGGGAGCAAGAGGAGGAGAAGGAAGGGGAAGAGUGGGAGGAGGAGGAAGAGAGAGCAAGCUGAAGCACUGAGGAACCAGGUGGACCUGGGCUCUGAGGUCCUUGGGGAUGUGAGGACACAGAUGACCAGAAGGCCUCUCAGAGAUAGGACUGUGACGGAACCACCCAGGACCCACCCCAGGAGGCGGGAGGGGAUGGAAAAACUGGAAUGCACAUGCAGGUACGAGAUGAAUUAUAGGUCAGGUACGGCCCCUAACCCCCUCAGGGAUACCUGAGGGAGUCCUGACCCUGCAAAAAGGCAAAGGCCCAGGUAAGGUAUUAAAUGAAUGACUCAUGCAAUACCAGAAGCUUCUAAGCUUUAGAUUAUCUUUCACGGUUCAGGAACAUCUUAAUAAGGAAAACUGAGCUUUAAGAAAUUCCGUGAAAUCUUGGCUCUCUGUUCUCUCUGUCUCUAAGCUCAGUGUUCAACAGAUCUUUGUGCUUCUAAAAGGAGGCAGGUUGAUGCAAUGGAAAAAGAUCUGAUGUGGUAAAAAUCAGAGUCCUAGCACUUCUUCAGCCACUAACUAUGUUACCUUAGAUGGCCAGCUUGGCCAGGCUGUCUUAGGUUUUUGGUGAGGAUUGAAAGGUAUGGAAAGGUCUUUGCCUAGUGCCUGGUCCACAGAACAUGCCUGACAAGAACAUAUGGCUGGAGCUUUAUCACUGCAGUGUAGACCCCCGCCAACACGUCAAUGAGAUCCGCUCGGAUGCUUAGACUUGCCCUUCUUCAUGUCCUUGAUUCUUAGAGCUCUCCAAUAGAUCUCCUGUGAGUUGCUUUCUGAGUAGAGUUAACCACGUGGAAUUUCCCUUGCUUGCAACCCUGCCCAAGACAGUCAGUGGUUGUAUUUCUUUCCUGCGGCUGCUGUCACAAAUUACCACUAAUUUAGUGUCUUAAAACAACAGCAAUUUACUCCUUCUUGGUUCUGGAGGCCAGAAGUCCAAAAUCAGUUUCACUGGGGGCAAAUCAAGGUGUGGCCAGGGCCACGCUCCCUCCUGAAGCUCGAGAGGAGAAUCUGUGCCUUCACUCCUUCAGCUUCUGGUGGCUGCCAGUGUCACUUGGCUUGUGACCACGUAGCUCCAAUCUCUGUCUCUGUGGUCACAUGGCCUUCUUCUCAGCUAGAUUAGUGCUGAGCUAACAUCUGCUGCCAAUCAUCUUCUUUCUGCUGAGGAAGACUGGCCCUGAGCUAACAUCUGUGCCCAUCUCCCUCUACUUUAUAUAUGGGAUGCCUACCACAGCAUGGCUUGCCAAGUGGUGCCAUGCCCACACCUGGGAUCCGAACUGGCGAAGCCUGGGCCACCAAAGCAGAACAUGCAAACUUAAUUGCUGCACCACCAGGCUGGCCCCCACCUUUGGUGUUUUUUUGAUGGUGAACCUUAAAGUGCUCAUUGUAUCAAUUUAUCGGGACCUGCCUAUACCAAUGACUACUAUUUGUAGACAGGAAACAAACAACAACCAGAGAUUGCCAGGAUCCUGGAGUUAUUGGCAUCCACUUGCCUUUCCCUCGCCUUUUGCUGUUUUGGGGUUCCUGCCUCAUGAGAGCUAUAGCUGGAGGUCCAAGAAAGCAACUUGCACGCUUUGGGUGGGAAAAGCUUUUGGCCUUCACAAGGGGAAACGCCCCAGCGAACGUGUGGUUUUCCUCCAUAGCUAAGUUGAGCACAACAUGUUAAGAAAUAUUGCCCAAAACCUUUCCUAUCAGAAGCAUUUAAGUUAUUCUUAAACAGUUUUGACAACAGCAUAUUUUACCUCGAAGCCAUAACCAUGCAUUAUUUAGAUAACAGAUUUCUGCUGAAUUCCAUCCCCUUUCUUGUCCUAAAUGUUGUAAUGUAUUGGGUAUUUAAGAACACACGCAAGAACGUUAGCCACAGGACUAUGUGUCCAACCUACUCUGUAAAAUGCUCCUAUUAUCAAAAUGUAUGCUUCUGAGUUACAAAAUAGUUUUUCCCUUUUAGAUGGUAUGCAGAUUGCCAGGGAAUAAUGCCUUUUAUUGUUAACCUUUGUUAAGUAAUAGUAGCAUUUGUUUCCGUUAAAACAUGACUAUUUCUGUGUAACAUUUAUUGCAUAAAAAUAGAACAACGUUGACAAUUUGCAGCCCCUCUUCUUGCCAGCUCUUCCCCUAGAUGUCUGGAAGACAAACGUACUUUUUCAGUGGAAUCUAGAAUUUGUUUUUCAAAGAAUAAAACAAAAAAAAAUAAGAGUUGUUUAUUGUUUUGUUUGAAUUCGAUUAAUCCUCCAAAGCUAUGGGCCCAACAGCAAAUUUGAGGGGAAAG